AGCAGCCGCGGUAAUUCCAGCUCCAAUGGCGUAUAUUAAAGUUGUUGCAGUUAAAAAGCUCGUAGUUGAAUUUCGGGAUCAAAGGAUCGGUCAUGCCUUGGUAUGUACUGGUUUUAUUGGUUCUCACCUUCUAAAGAACCAUAAUGUCAUUCAUUUGAUGUUAUGGGGAAUUAGGACUGUUACCUUGAAAAAAUUAGAGUGUUUAAAGCAGGCUUACGCUUGAAUACAUUAGCAUGGAAUAACGAAAUAGGACGUUUGAUUCUAUUUUGUUGGUUUCUAGGAUCGACGUAAUGAUUAAUAGGGAUAGUUGGGGGCAUUAGUAUUCAAUUGUCAGAGGUGAAAUUCUUGGAUUUAUUGAAGACUAACUACUGCGAAAGCAUUUGCCAAGGAUGUUUUCAUUAAUCAAGAACGAAAGUUAGGGGAUCGAAGACGAUCAGAUACCGUCGUAGUCUUAACCAUAAACUAUGCCGACUAGGGAUCGGAUGAUGUUAAAUUAAUGACUCAUUCGGCACCUUACGGG
Molecule: ribosomal RNA, 520 nt
Filed under: uncultured Glomus
Lineage: Eukaryota; Fungi; Glomeromycota; Glomeromycetes; Glomerales; Glomeraceae
Description: SSU rRNA
Rfam family: Eukaryotic small subunit ribosomal RNA
Source: RNAcentral